AUAUCAUUUGCCUAGUGAUCGAAGUGGCUCAAAAUCAACGGCUGAAAAUAAAAAUCUUACAAAAUAUAAUAAUAUGACAUUAAAAUUUUAGAUCAAACAUAUUGAUCUUAUUUUAUAUAGUAUAAAAAAUUUUCUAUCAAAAUUUUAUCUGAUUUGGAUAUUUCUAUACUGUUAAACUUGCAAACGGCUCACCACGACCAUUAAAAUUAUUGAUUUUGAGCCCCUUCGAUCACUAGGCAAAUGAUAUCGAAAUAUCACAAAAUUUAUUUUCUAAGUACUUCAAAUACUCUAGAUCAAGUUUAACGGAACCGAUCGUUGAUUCGAAAGUCCCAAUAUCGAAAACGACUUAGAAGCACAGAAGGCUCCGUACUUUCAGAAGUAUACCAGCUCUCUCUCUCUCUCUCUCUCUCUAUAUAU
Molecule: long non-coding RNA, 417 nt
Filed under: Ananas comosus (pineapple)
Lineage: Eukaryota; Viridiplantae; Streptophyta; Magnoliopsida; Poales; Bromeliaceae
Description: long non-coding RNA (ACOM_LNC016081)
Source: RNAcentral